AUGAUCAGUUAACAUACGAAAAGAUAUACAUUCACUAGUAAUCAGAGAAAUGAUAAUUAAAUAAUACAUUCCAGUUUUUGUGCAUUCGAUGAUUGAUAAUGUCACUUGUAAAGCAGAGUAUGGCGAAAGGGAGGCUGUUAUGGAGUGAUUAUAAAUCCUCCCCCUCUUUGUCCCAAUGUCCUGAUUUCUUUUUCUUCUUAGAUCUGAUCAGCAUGAACAUAGUAUAUGUUUAACCACCAAAUGCUUCUUUCAUCUACUGGAAUGUGAACUCCAUGAAAGAAGGGGUUUUCCUGAAACCAGGAGGUUUUGAUUCCCCCAAAACAAAUUCCAACUUCCUGGAAGUAAUGCUGUUUUGCAUCAUGGAAAAUAUGGUUCUGAAAGUGUUGGCCUAUUCUUGCUGAUGAAAUCCUGCUAUUAUAUAGGUGAUUAUAAUGAAGCUACCCAUUCCCAGUGGAUUUUGGAAGGAGAGGCAUUGCUGUAGACUUGUGCUGGGAAAGGAAGAAAAUAGCCUUUCUGCUCGGACACCGGGCUUCUGAAAAGGCAGUUCACUCUCCUCCCUCCAGUCUUCUGUGUAUUUUGACUGUCAGAGAUGACGGGCAUUGGGCGUGGUGGAGAAGAUCUUUGGAUUCUCACCUUUCCUUAGGCCUUGAGGGUAAGUGUCUGAUCCCAAUUGCUGAUGAAUCUCUGAGCUUAGAAUGCAAGAACUUUGCACAUUUUGUGUAUCAUUUUGAACUUCUGCAGCAGUUCCUGGAAAACAGGACAAAAUCUUAUAUGGACCUCUAUUACACUCCACUAAAAAUUGUCAGUACCGGAGAUCUGG
This 820-nucleotide long non-coding RNA is filed under the name Equus caballus (horse). RNAcentral's name for it is "lncRNA (ENSECAG00000052634.1)". The record is from RNAcentral. Lineage: Eukaryota; Metazoa; Chordata; Mammalia; Perissodactyla; Equidae.